GACCAGGGUUCCAAGUUGUCUUGGGCCCAGUGAGGUCACUGCCUGGGGACCCCUUCCCUAGGCUUCCUGCUCACACAAGACCUCCCUAAGGGCCCCCUGGGCCGCUGACUUCUCACCCUCCAUCCCAACACCACGGCCAUCCACAGCUGCACCAACACAGCCCAACCCACCGACCCCGAGGAGGCCUGGCUCGAGUCAGAAGCCAGCGUUGGGGACACAGAGCUGGUCAGACCUGGCUCCUCCUUCUUGCCAGUGAUGUCCCCCUGGACAGCCAUGUGCCUCUCAGGGCCUCCCCAUGCCCCCAUCUGUGCAGCGGUGAGCUCCUAUAGGACACGGAUCGUGUGAGGGCUUUCAGAACCGCCCCCAGGCUCACACUGCGCCUUCACAGAGUGAGUGCAGGCCCACAGCAGCUGAAAGAAGGGGAUGAUCUCAGAGCCCCCUUCCGCCUCUGAACAACUCCCAUCGUCGCCAUGGAUGCCAGUCACGAAAGGUGCCUGUUGCUUUGGCCAGGGGAACCCCCAGAAUGACCACUGAGUGUGCCUUCCCUCUUCCAGUUACUCCUCUGAGCACAAGUGGCAAUAAACCCCCUGGUGGUCAGGUCCAGCAUUGCAGCAACAGGCAGGACAGCAGGAGAGAAAAAACACACCUUUGUUCCAGGCCCUGGAGGCAGCGGUUCCAGCAGGGCCCAGGGCGCAAAGGAGAAGGCCGUACAGGCUCCGGGGGUGAUGUGAGGGACCUGUGAAGCCUCUCUUGCUCCCUCUCUCCCUGCACUGGCCCUGGCGUGUGCACUUUCCCCACGAGGCCUCCUCACCGCAGCCAGGGCACUGACUCCACUCCACGUCCAAAUGAGGACCCCGAGGCUCCAACAAGGAUGGCCUCGGUCCUGCUCUCCAGAUGAGGGGUCCAUAGCUCUGCCAAGUUCUGCAGUAGCCAGGUGCCCAGCCCACCUACAGCUCAGGCUGCCCUCUGCCCAGAAAGGCCUCGAGGGACUAGAAGGCCCAGUCCAAGGCCUCGGAGCACGGUGGGUCAUGGAUGGACAACUGAGAUCGAUAGACUCUUCUACAAGCUUGUGGGGUCCUUGGAGUCACUCCUCUAGGCUCCCCAAUUGAUGGAGGAGUAACCUCAUGCCUUCUAUCCACUGGCCCCUUCCAUACUGGGGGUGGGG
RNAcentral lists this long non-coding RNA (1165 nucleotides) under Equus caballus (horse). RNAcentral describes it as "lncRNA (ENSECAG00000054678.1)". The record is from RNAcentral. Lineage: Eukaryota; Metazoa; Chordata; Mammalia; Perissodactyla; Equidae.